GAACAUCCACGCACAUAUACCUAGCUAACUCAGAAGGAAUUUCAAGAUUUGUACCACCAAUAUUGAUCGCUCUAGAUGUUGAUGAGCUAGAACUAGAACUAAAUGAAGGAGCACUUGUAUUGCUAUCUAAAUAAUUCCAUAAAUUUUCGGGAUUUGUUGUAAUAUUUCUUGAAAAAGAACUUUGGGAAGUAGAACUACGCUGACCUUCCUUUUCAGCAUAAUAAUUAUACAUUUCACAUAAAAAAGAUUCUAUAUGCACGUGUGAUAAUUCUAUAUUCAAAAAAUCUGAUAUCCCCUUUACAGUAGUUUUUGUGCCAGUUAAAUUAAGUCGAGGGUCCAUUACUGAAGCUAAAAGAAAUAAAGAAGGCAAC
This 371-nucleotide long non-coding RNA is filed under the name Olea europaea (common olive). Its description in RNAcentral is "long non-coding RNA (OEUR_LNC012339)". The record is from RNAcentral. Lineage: Eukaryota; Viridiplantae; Streptophyta; Magnoliopsida; Lamiales; Oleaceae.